This 255-nucleotide ribosomal RNA is filed under the name uncultured bacterium. Its description in RNAcentral is "partial 16S ribosomal RNA". It matches the Rfam family "Bacterial small subunit ribosomal RNA", at positions 524 to 776 of the family's 1533-position model. The record is from RNAcentral.
UACAGAGGUCUCAAGCGUUGUUCGGAUUCAUUGGGCGUAAAGGGUGCGUAGGCGGCGCGGUAAGUCGGAUGUGAAAUCUCGGAGCUUAACUUCGAAACUGCAUUCGAUACUGCCGUGCUUGAGGACUGGAGAGGAGACUGGAAUUCCUGGUGUAGCGGUGAAAUGCGCAGAUAUCAGGAGGAACACCGGUGGCGAAGGCGGGUCUCUGGGCCGAUACUGACGCUGGAGGAGCGAAAGCCGUGGGGAGCGAACAGG